Molecule: small nuclear RNA, 21 nt
Filed under: Arabidopsis thaliana (thale cress)
Lineage: Eukaryota; Viridiplantae; Streptophyta; Magnoliopsida; Brassicales; Brassicaceae
Description: snRNA_07444
Source: RNAcentral
AACGUCUCGCAAUUUGCGAGG